CAACCCUUAAGCCUAGCUUAGUGUUGGGAGCCUACUAGCCCUCGCGGCCUGUAGCUCCUGAAAUACAACGGCGGAUCUGCGAUAUCCUCUGAGCGUAGUAAUUUUUAUCUCGCUUUUGUCAGGAUUCCCAGCAUCUAGCCGCUAAACCCCCCAAUUUUUAAU
RNAcentral lists this unclassified non-coding RNA (162 nucleotides) under uncultured Pestalotiopsis. Its description in RNAcentral is "sequence contains ITS2". Lineage: Eukaryota; Fungi; Ascomycota; Sordariomycetes; Amphisphaeriales; Amphisphaeriaceae. The record is from RNAcentral.